This 501-nucleotide ribosomal RNA is filed under the name uncultured bacterium. RNAcentral describes it as "partial 16S ribosomal RNA". It matches the Rfam family "Bacterial small subunit ribosomal RNA", at positions 30 to 523 of the family's 1533-position model. The record is from RNAcentral.
AUUGAACGCUGGCGGCAGGCUUAACACAUGCAAGUCGAGCGGGGGAAGGUAGAUUGCUACCGGACCUAGCGGCGGACGGGUGAGUAAUGCUAAGGAAUCUGCCAAUUAGUGAGGGACAACAUCUCGACAGGGAUGCUAAUACCGCAUACGUCCUACGGUAGAAUGCAGGGGAUCUACGGACCUUGCGCUAAUAGAUGAGCAGAAGUCGGAUUAGCUAGUUGGUGGGGUAAAGGCCUACCAAGGCGACGAUCUGUAGCGGGUCUGAGAGGAUGAUCCGCCACACUGGGACUGAGACACGGCCCAGACUCCAACGGGAGGCAGCAGUGGGGAAUAUUGGACAAUGGGGGGAACCCUGAUCCAGCCAUGCCGCGUGUGUGAAGAAGGCCUUAUGGUUGUAAAGCACUUUAAGCGAGGAGGAGGCUACUCUAGUUAAUACCUAGGGAUAGUGGACGUUACUCGCAGAAUAAGCACCGGCUAACUCUGUGCCAGCAGCCGCCGUAA